CCUACGGGUGGCAGCAGUGAGGAAUAUUGGUCAAUGGCCGGAAGGCUGAACCAGCCAAGCCGCGUGAAGGACGAAGGUGCCAAGCAUUGUAAACUUCUUUUGUCAAGGGACAAAAUCAGGCUCGAGAGCCUGACCGAGGGUACUUGAAGAAAAAGCAUCGGCUAACUCCGUGCCAGCAGCCGCGGUAAUACGGAGGAUGCGAGCGUUGUCCGGAUUUACUGGGUGUAAAGGGCGUGUAGCCGGGCUGACAAGUCAGAUGUGAAAUCCGGGGGCUCAACCCCCGAACUGUAUUUGAAACUGUUGGUCUUGAGUAUCGGAGAGGCAGGCGGAAUUCCUAGUGUAGCGGUGAAAUGCGUAGAUAUUAGGAGGAACACCAGUGGCGAAGGCGGCCUGCUGGACGACAACUGACGGUGAGGCGCGAAAGCGUGGGGAGCAAACAGGAUUAGAUACCCGAGUAGUC
Molecule: ribosomal RNA, 460 nt
Filed under: uncultured bacterium
Lineage: Bacteria
Description: partial 16S ribosomal RNA
Rfam family: Bacterial small subunit ribosomal RNA
Source: RNAcentral